UAAUUGAAGAGUUUGAUCAUGGCUCAGAUUGAACGCUGGCGGCAGGCCUAACACAUGCAAGUCGGGCGGUAACAGGGAGAAGCUUGCUUCUCUGCUGACGAGCGGCGGACGGGUGAGUAAUGUAUGGGGAUCUGCCUGAUGGCGGGGGAUAACUACUGGAAACGGUAGCUAAUACCGCAUAAUGUCUUCGGACCAAAGCGGGGGACCUUCGGGCCUCGCGCCAUCAGAUGAACCCAUAUGGGAUUA
Molecule: ribosomal RNA, 246 nt
Filed under: Morganella morganii
Lineage: Bacteria; Pseudomonadati; Pseudomonadota; Gammaproteobacteria; Enterobacterales; Morganellaceae
Description: partial 16S ribosomal RNA
Rfam family: Bacterial small subunit ribosomal RNA
Source: RNAcentral